This is a long non-coding RNA of Drosophila yakuba, 492 nucleotides long. RefSeq lists it as uncharacterized. Lineage: Eukaryota; Metazoa; Arthropoda; Insecta; Diptera; Drosophilidae. The record is from RefSeq and is a predicted model, not a curated record. The transcript is spliced from 2 exons.
AGAACGUUUUUGUUAUAGAGCACUGGGCUUUAAAUUAUUUUCUAAAUCGCACUCAAGAGUCUCAGAUUUUCUACACGAUUUUUCUGAUGGCGUUCUGAACGACAAAGAGCUCGAUCAAAUGUAAUCCAAGCCGGUCAAAUUCAGACUUUUCGCUUAAAUAAAUAAAGUACUGUUCAUGCAAAUCAAACAAUAUAUGUACAUACAACGAAGUGGCUAAGCCAAAGUUUUGGAACACUUGCAACUCGGAAUUGCGAUUUCUAGCAACUGAAUUCUGGAUUGGACUCUGUAGAUGCCACGCAACUCUAAUAAUAGAAUUGUCGACUCAUAAAACAAUAUCAAAAAACUGAUUCAUUGCCACACUCUACUAUCAAAUACAAAGUAUUAUAAUGUAAUCAAACUGCACAUUAUAUGGUUGGGUGGUUUAUAAUUUCGGAUAAUCCCUCCACCCAUUAGAACAGAUUCCGAUAAUAAACCAUAAGUACCAAAAUAAAA